GAAUGGAGGUCGUCGAUUCAGGUCGAGUAGGAGCACUCUAUGGCUUUGCAUUGCUACUAGUGGUCCAAUAUUCACACCUUCACGAUUUAGUGGAUUUCCCUCAUCCAUAUCUCCACUGACGUUAGAAUAUUCCUUAUCCCGUCGUCAUGAGGUCUUACUACUUUUGGUCUCUAAAUUGUAUAUGCUUUUUGGAGUAAUUUGCUUUGUUUCGAUGCCUACAUGUUAGCUUCGAAUAAAGCUACUUUCCCUGCAGCUUUGAAAAAUAGUCGCUAAAAAAAUCAAGUGAUCCAUUCUACACUCAUCUUUGUUGUAUUAUUACACUAAUAUUUUGCUUCCACCAUGAAAUUUUAAUAUCUUAUUGGAGUUUGAAUAAAAUUUUAUGUUUCAAUGUCUUUAUUUUAGCUAUCUCACAUGUGGUGGUCCUGUAAACUGUCCAAUUUUUUUAAAAAUAAAAACAAAAUGGAACCCUAAAUUAGGAUGGUUAGCUUCCUAUUCUAUGUAUACCCUUUUUCACUUUUCUUUUUCUUUUGGAAAAAAGUAACUAAGCGUUCGGGCUCCUUGCUUUGUACUGAUGUAAGUUUCCAUUAGGCAAUCACAACAAUUCCACAAGGAAGCAGGUCAUAAGCUGGAGUCUACCUUGCUCCUCCUUUCUUUCUUUUCUUUGCACCCAUAUCCUUCCUCUUUGUUUUCAAAAUUCUUUUGUUAGAAGAGCCAUUUAACAUAUGCAAUAUUGUUUAUUUGUGGAAUGGCAAGUGAUGGGAAAUACUAAGAUUAUAACAUUGUAGAUAUUAUCAUUUGGCAGGUUACCAUAGCCCAUUACCUAUCUUGAAAGGAUUGAAUACUCAAUAAUCGUGGCGAAACAGGCGGUGUCGAUAUACUCAAUUUUUAUAUUCUCAUAAACAAGAUAAACUUUAUCCUCCCUGUAUAGCUUAACAUGAUGUCCCUCCAUACGUACUUAUGUAUCAAUGCAUUGUUGGUUUACUAUUGUUCACAUUCUUAAUUAGCUUAUAGGUCACGAAUCUCAUUUGUUUUCCCUUGCAUUUUCCCAUGUUUACAAUUGUUCACAUUCUUGAUCAGUUUAUAGAUCACAAAUCUCAUUUGUUUUUUGUUGCAUUUUCGCAAGUUGAACAAGUGUUUCGAAUCGUCAACAACUCGUUUGAACAACCUACGACCUCCGUUAGGAACAUGUAUGUUUUUUCCAACAAACAAUAUGUUAUCUAUUUAUUUUCCACACUCAUGACAACCACAUAUAUCAUUUUUUACUUGCUAUUUUCUGCAUGGUCACCUGCUAUUUUCUAAUCGGAGCAAGGUGAAUCGCACAUUCUGUAAGUUCUAUUCGAAAGAGGUAUUUUCUAUACAAUAAACACCAUGGCCACACCCUGUGUAUCCACUUGUGUAUCUAAACAAAUUACAUAUAUGUAUAUAUGUACUUUGAAUAAGUGCUCAAUUAUAUAGGAUUGAUAACGAUGUUAUACAUGAAUAAAUAUAUGCAUAGAGAUCCUACAAUAUAAAUGCACAUGUAUACACACAUGUUAUUGAGUACUCGGAUGGUAUUUGAUCUUUUCAAAAACAAAAAACGGGUGAAGAUUGUUGUGUUUUAAUAGUCUAGAUGUGCUUUUAACCCUCUUUUUAUACAAUUGUGGCAUCAUUGGUCUAAGUUGGUUACUUCAUCCUUAUGGCUUAGAUUCUAAUUAUCCAACAAUGUCAAUUUAUAUGAUCUGAAUUCCAUACUGCUGUUUGGCAUAAAGAAACUACUUACAUUCCAAAAUAUAGGUUGUUUUUAGUUUUUUUAGAUAUGUAAUUUUAUCAUGUAUAAUAAAAGGCUUAACAUGUAUCAAGAUGCAUAUAGCACCCAACAGACUUCUACAUCUGAUACUGAAGAACAUAGAUCCAAAUGUAAUGCUCAAGAAGAAAUCACAAAGGACCAAACAGCUAGCAUCAGGCAACUCAAAGCAAAAGACAAUAUGCCUUUAUUUGAAUCUCCUCCAAAAAGGAGUGUCAAAAAAGCACAUUUUUGUAAUUUUGACAUGGGAUAUUUUGUGGUCUUGAGGAACAUAUAGACCAAUAUGUUGAUACCUCAACAAGUUUGUAUUUAUGACUAAUCCGCUGUAAAAGUACACUUGAUCCACAAAGUCCUUGAAAACUUCCUUUCAACGCACAAUCCUUUUUGUAACCACUACGACCUAUUGUAACAAUAUCCAAACUCAGCAUCCUACGUUUGUAUAUUCCAAUAUUUCAGUACUGCACAUAUAAGCAUGCUUAUAUAAUUAUGUAUGUAUUAUGUACCUACUUCAGGUAUAUUAAUAGACCUAUAUAUUGCUUAUAUAAAUCUAAAAUAUCACUUUGUUU
Long non-coding RNA from Zea mays, 2349 nucleotides. RefSeq lists it as uncharacterized. The record is from RefSeq and is a predicted model, not a curated record. NCBI's taxonomy places the organism in Eukaryota, Viridiplantae, Streptophyta, Magnoliopsida, Poales, Poaceae. The transcript has 3 exons.